CUUGUCUCAAAGAUUAAGCCAUGCAAGUGAAAGUAUAUGCAUAUUUUAUAUGUAGAAACUGCGAACGGCUCAUUAAAACAGUUAUAAUCUAGUUGACAUUUUCUAUAUAAGGAUAACUACGGAAAAGCUGUAGCUAAUACUUGCUUUAGCACUCUUGAUUUAUUUCUUGAGUGUGUACUUGUUAAGCCUUAUAAGAAAAGAGUUAUUAACUUAAGGAAUUAUAACAAAGAAGUAACACGUAAUGGAUUCUUCCAUUUUUUAGUGUGUAUCAAUCGAGUUUCUGACCUAUCAGCUUUUGAUGUUAGGGUAUUGGCCUUAACAUGGCUAUGACGGGUAACGGGGAAUUAGAGUUCGACUUCCGAGAGGGAGCCUGAGAAAUAGCUACCACAUCUAAGGAAGGCAGCAGGCUAAAUUACCCAAUUCUAAAGAAGAGAGGUAGUGACAAGAAAUAACAAUACAAGGCCAAUCUGGCUUUGUAAUUGGAAUGAUGGGAAUUUAAAACCUUCCCAAAAUUCAAUUGGAGGGCAAGUCUGGUGCCAGCAGCCGCGGUAAUUCCAGCUCCAAUAGCGUAUAUUAAAAUUGUUGCAGUUAAAACGCUCGUAGUUGAAUUUCAAAGAACCUAUAUUUUAAUGAUGCUGUUAGCGAGAGCACAAAAAAGCUAAUUCCAAUAUAUGUUUUCUGCUUUAUGUGCGCAUCCUCUACCUAUUAAGUGUUAAUUAAAUUAAAGGGUUUCUUUUUAAAAUCUUCUAUAACUAAUAAAAAUAUAUGGAAGAUUUUGUUACUUUGAGUAAAUUAGAGUGUUCAAAGCAAACAGAUAUAUAGCACUUGCGCGUUUGAAUACUACAGCAUGGAAUAACAAAAUUGAACAGGUCAAAACUAUGUUUCUUUUUUUUUAUUUUUGGCUUAGUUACGAUUAAUAGGAGUAGUUUGGGGACAUUUGUAUUCAGAUGUCAGAGGUGAAAUUCUAAGAUUUUCUGGAGACAAACAACUGCGAAAGGCAUUUGUCUAAAAUACUUCCAUUAAUCAAGAACGAAAGUUAAGGGAGUGAAGACGAUCAGAUACCGUCGUAAUCUUAACCAUAAACUAUACCGACUAGGCUUUUGGAUGAAAGUAAAACAAAUGAGGAUAGUCUCUUCGGGGAUAGUUCUUAGAUUUCUUCCUUCAGUACCUUAUGAGAAAUCAAAGUCUUUGGGUUCUGGGGCGAGUAUUCGCGCAAGCGAGAAAGUUAAAAGAAUUGACGGAAGGGCACCACCAGGCGUGGAGCUUGCGGCUUAAUUUGACUCAACACGGGAAAACUCACUAGUUUAAGACAUCCGUAGGAUUGACAGAUUACUAGCUCUUUCUUGAUUUCUUGGAUGGUGAUGCAUGGCCGUUUUUAGUUCGCGAAUAUGAUUUGUCUGGUUAAUUCCGAUAACGAACGAGAUCUUAACCUGCUAAUUAGCGGCAAAUACAACAUAUUUCUAUGCUGAAUUUGUAUUUGGAUAAUUUAAAAGGUUUUUUUGCCGUGCAUAUAAUGAGUACGGAAAAAAUGCAUUUUGCUACCUUGUACCUAAUAAUACUUGUGCGCCUAUGCAUAUUUCCAACCCUCUAUUCCCUGUACCGCAUAAAACUGGAUUAUGAUGCCAUUUCACUUUUAUGUAGAAAUGUAUUUGCUUUUACAUAAAGCUUCUUAGAGGAACGAUGUGUGUCUAACACAAGGAAGUUUAAGGCAACAACAGGUCUGUGAUGUCCUUAGAUGAACUAGGCUGCACGCGUGCUACACUGAUAUGUAUAACGAGUUACUAAAAUUACGAUAUGGCUGCUUGCAGUUUAUUUCGUACUUUUCCUCCACUGAAAAGUGUAGGUAAUCUUUAUCAAUACAUAUCGUGAUGGGGAUAGAUUAUUGCAAUUAUUAAUCUUGAACGAGGAAUGCCUAGUAAGCAUGAUUCAUCAGAUUGUGCUGACUACGUCCCUGCCCUUUGUACACACCGCCCGUCGCUCUACGAUCGAAGAUAUGAUGAUGAAUUGUUUGGACAAGAAAAAAUUGGAUUAUAUCUUUUUUUUCUGGAAAAACCGUAAAUCCUAUCUUUUAAAGGAAGGAGAAGUCGUAACAAGGUUUCCGUAGGUGAA
RNAcentral lists this ribosomal RNA (2109 nucleotides) under Plasmodium knowlesi. RNAcentral describes it as "SSU rRNA". It matches the Rfam family "Eukaryotic small subunit ribosomal RNA". Lineage: Eukaryota; Apicomplexa; Aconoidasida; Haemosporida; Plasmodiidae. The record is from RNAcentral.